Molecule: ribosomal RNA, 253 nt
Filed under: uncultured bacterium
Lineage: Bacteria
Description: partial 16S ribosomal RNA
Rfam family: Bacterial small subunit ribosomal RNA
Source: RNAcentral
UACGAAGGGGGCUAGCGUUGCUCGGAAUCACUGGGCGUAAAGGGUGCGUAGGCGGGUCUUUAAGUCAGGGGUGAAAUCCUGGAGCUCAACUCCAGAACUGCCUUUGAUACUGAGGAUCUUGAGUACGGGAGAGGUGAGUGGAACUGCGAGUGUAGAGGUGAAAUUCGUAGAUGUUCGCAAGAACACCAGUGGCGAAGGCGGCUCACUGGCCCGUAACUGACGCUGAGGCACGAAAGCGUGGGGAGCAAACAGG